AAUGUAUCCGUUUAAUGACAUAUUUUUAAGUUACUCUUAAAUCGUUUUUCUUGAUAUCAUUUUGUAAUUAUUUUUCUUUUUAAUUUUUAGUAAAAGACAUUCAAACUUACCAAUGCUAGCAGCAAGCAAUUUAGUCAUCAUAUUAACCACGUUUAUCUAACGGACAAACUGCUUAAUGAGAGAACGGUAAGAUAUACUGAUGUGCUUUUCAUCUUGAAAGAUAAUUCUGUCUUAAGAAUGAGCUUUUGAAUCUUGAUAUGAUUGAUACUUUUAUACAUCUAUAAAAUGCGGAUCGCAUAAAGGAAUAUCAAUAUUGCAACCGAUUAUCAAAUUACAGCACCAGCAAGAAUCAGUCAUUUUAUUUAUCAUACUCAUCACAAUCCUUCUAUUUCUUGACUAUGUACGCUAUAAUAUUAUCCAACAGUCUAUAAUGAGUUAUAAAAAAAAAUGUCUGAUUACAAUGUUGCUCACAUCGAGUUGCGACGUAUUACCUGAAAUAUAUAAAUUAUUUGUACAGAUUUGUAUAGGAAUUUACAUAAUUAAAUUUUUUCUUUUGAUUAUUAGAAGAUCUAGGUAUCUAGAAUAAAAGGAUCUACUCACAGCAUACACCAUGAUAAAGCUUAUGAAAAAGCUUACCAAACGUUGAACAGGAUAAUAAUCAGUUUAAUAAAGAAAACUAUAAGUCAAAAUUGCUCUUAUCAUGUCCAUGAGAAUAAAAAUAUUGCUGUCGCCGAAGUGCAUGAUCAAAUAUCGAUAUUGAAAGGUAUGAAGUAUCGCCAUCGAAAAUAUGCAGCAAACUGUGCGCAAAAUUGCAAACGACGUACCCGGUCAUACAUCGAUUAGACGAAGACCAAACUCCACGAAGCCAGUAUUUUAUAUACCGUAUUAUUCAUUGAGCUCGAAUAAAUCUAUUUUAUAGCACGAUCACCAAUCUAGUGGUUUAUUACUAACUCUGAUUAAUUUUUCUUUUUGCUCUGUCAGCAUUAUGAGUAAGUGCAUAAGUCAGGAGAAAAUAUCAAUUUGCCAACACGACAGAUUUUUACUAAACGAUUGAUAUAAUACAACUUGAAAAUUUUUUACUAAAACUGCAAUAUAUAUAUAUUGACGAAAAAAAUUCGAUUAAAAGAGCUAAAAGACAAACGACUAUAUUAUAGUUAACAGUGCUGGCUUGACUACCUCUCUAGAUGUGAUCGGCCGAGAGAUCUCAGUGAAACUGUAAAACUAACGCUAGAAUACAUACAAUUCAACAUUAGUGUAACCCCCAUCUCGAUUGUAUUCAACCAAUAGAAAACGUUCACGUUGUACUUCUUUUUCUAUUUCAGAAGUCAAGAAGAAAAAUUAUAAAUCAAUGUCUCAAUAAUUGCAGUGGUUGCGAAGAAAGACAGUUUGCGGAAACAUCGGAAAAUUAUAGAUAAAUAUUCAAACUUACCAAUAUUAUCAAGAAAGAAUUCAAUACUCCUACCAUUCCAGCCGCACUUGUCUGAUGAAUAAAUUGCGUAAGGAGAACGGCUACGUGUACUAAUGUGCUAUCGAUCUCGAAGGGUAUCUCCAUCUUGAUGAUAAGCUCUCGAGCUUCGACCCAACGACAGCUAUGAGCUACUUUAAUCAUCGUGUACUCGUCCAAAAUGUAGCAAUUCUUCCAAUCCUUAGCGAUACAUGUUAUCACUUCGUUCAGUAGACUAUAAUUAUUAU
RNAcentral lists this long non-coding RNA (1692 nucleotides) under Monomorium pharaonis (pharaoh ant). RNAcentral describes it as "uncharacterized LOC118645088". The record is from RNAcentral. Lineage: Eukaryota; Metazoa; Arthropoda; Insecta; Hymenoptera; Formicidae.